This 87-nucleotide small RNA is filed under the name Flavobacterium sp. A45. Its description in RNAcentral is "Flavo-1 RNA". It matches the Rfam family "Flavo-1 RNA". The record is from Rfam by way of RNAcentral. Lineage: Bacteria; Pseudomonadati; Bacteroidota; Flavobacteriia; Flavobacteriales; Flavobacteriaceae.
UUUUAGCCCCGACAGAAGGGAUAAACCUUGUGAGUCUCGUCUUUUGGAACGAGACUCGCAAGUUUAGGAAUGAUGGCGGGAACGAUG